UGGCUCAGGAUGAACGCUGGCGGCGUGCCUAAUACAUGCAAGUCGAGCGAACAGAUAAGGAGCUUGCUCCUUUGACGUUAGCGGCGGACGGGUGAGUAACACGUGGAUAACCUACCUAUAAGACUGGGAUAACUUCGGGAAACCGGAGCUAAUACCGGAUAACAUAUUGAACCGCAUGGUUCAAUAGUGAAAGGCGGCUUUGCUGUCACUUAUAGAUGGAUCCGCGCCGUAUUAGCUAGUUGGUAAGGUAACGGCUUACCAAGGCAACGAUACGUAGCCGACCUGAGAGGGUGAUCGGCCACACUGGAACUGAGACACGGUCCAGACUCCUACGGGAGGCAGCAGUAGGGAAUCUUCCGCAAUGGGCGAAAGCCUGACGGAGCAACGCCGCGUGAGUGAUGAAGGUCUUCGGAUCGUAAAACUCUGUUAUCAGGGAAGAGCAAAUGUGUAAGUAACUGUGCACAUCUUGACGGUACCUGAUCAGAAAGCCACGGCUAACUACGUGCCAGCAGCCGCGGUAAUACGUAGGUGGCAAGCGUUAUCCGGAAUUAUUGGGCGUAAAGCGCGCGUAGGCGGUUUUUUAAGUCUGA
This 590-nucleotide ribosomal RNA is filed under the name Staphylococcus sp. 5:7. Its description in RNAcentral is "bacterial SSU rRNA". It matches the Rfam family "Bacterial small subunit ribosomal RNA", at positions 20 to 592 of the family's 1533-position model. Lineage: Bacteria; Bacillati; Bacillota; Bacilli; Caryophanales; Staphylococcaceae. The record is from RNAcentral.